RNAcentral lists this ribosomal RNA (250 nucleotides) under uncultured bacterium. RNAcentral describes it as "partial 16S ribosomal RNA". It matches the Rfam family "Bacterial small subunit ribosomal RNA", at positions 524 to 773 of the family's 1533-position model. The record is from RNAcentral.
GACGAGGGGUCCUAGCGUUGUUCGGAAUCACUGGGCGUAAAGCGUUUGUAGGCGGCCCUGUAAGUCGGGUGUGAAAUCCCACGGCUCAACCGUGGAAGUGCAUUCGAAACUGCAGAGCUUGAAUAUGGAAGAGGGCAGUAGAAUUCCUGGUGUAGUGGUGAAAUACGUAGAUAUCAGGAGGAAUACCGGUGGCGAAGGCGGCUGCCUGGUCCAAUAUUGACGCUGAGAAACGAAAGUGCGGGGAUCAAAC